Molecule: ribosomal RNA, 539 nt
Filed under: Babesia venatorum (nom. ined.)
Lineage: Eukaryota; Apicomplexa; Aconoidasida; Piroplasmida; Babesiidae
Description: SSU rRNA
Rfam family: Eukaryotic small subunit ribosomal RNA
Source: RNAcentral
GAAUGAUGGUGACCUAAACCCUCACCAGAGUAACAAUUGGAGGGCAAGUCUGGUGCCAGCAGCCGCGGUAAUUCCAGCUCCAAUAGCGUAUAUUAAACUUGUUGCAGUUAAAAAGCUCGUAGUUGAAUUUCUGCGUUAUCGAGUUAUUGACUCUUGUCUUUAAUCGAUUUCGCUUUUGGGAUUUAUCCCUUUUUACUUUGAGAAAAUUAGAGUGUUUCAAGCAGACUUUUGUCUUGAAUACUUCAGCAUGGAAUAAUAGAGUAGGACUUUGGUUCUAUUUUGUUGGUUUUUGAACCUUAGUAAUGGUUAAUAGGAACGGUUGGGGGCAUUCGUAUUUAACUGUCAGAGGUGAAAUUCUUAGAUUUGUUAAAGACGAACUACUGCGAAAGCAUUUGCCAAGGACGUUUCCAUUAAUCAAGAACGAAAGUUAGGGGAUCGAAGACGAUCAGAUACCGUCGUAGUCCUAACCAUAAACUAUGCCGACUAGGGAUUGGAGGUCGUCAUUUUUCCGACUCCUUCAGCACCUUGAGAGAAAUCAA